AACGAACGCUGGCGGCAGGCCUAACACAUGCAAGUCGAACGCCCCGCAAGGGGCGUGGCAGACGGGUGAGUAACACGUGGGAACCUUCCCUAUAGUACGGAAUAGCCCAGGGAAACUUGGAGUAAUACCGUAUACGCCCGAAAGGGGAAAGAAUUUCGCUAUAGGAUGGGCCCGCGUAGGAUUAGCUAGUUGGUGAGGUAAUGGCUCACCAAGGCGACGAUCCUUAGCUGGUUUGAGAGAACGACCAGCCACACUGGGACUGAGACACGGCCCAGACUCCUACGGGAGGCAGCAGUGGGGAAUAUUGGACAAUGGGCGCAAGCCUGAUCCAGCCAUGCCGCGUGAGUGAUGAAGGCCUUAGGGUUGUAAAGCUCUUUUGGCGGGGACGAUAAUGACGGUACCCGCAGAAUAAGUCCCGGCUAACUUCGUG
RNAcentral lists this ribosomal RNA (430 nucleotides) under uncultured bacterium. RNAcentral describes it as "partial 16S ribosomal RNA". It matches the Rfam family "Bacterial small subunit ribosomal RNA", at positions 29 to 507 of the family's 1533-position model. The record is from RNAcentral.